UACGAAGGGUGCAAGCGUUACUCGGAAUUACUGGGCGUAAAGCGUGCGUAGGCGGUUCGUUAAGUCUGAUGUGAAAGCCCUGGGCUCAACCUGGGAAUGGCAUUGGAAACUGGCGGCCUAGAGUGCGGUAGAGGGUAGUGGAAUUCCCGGUGUAGCAGUGAAAUGCGUAGAGAUCGGGAGGAACAUCCGUGGCGAAGGCGACUACCUGGACCAGCACUGACACUGAGGCACGAAAGCGUGGGGAGCAAACAGG
This 253-nucleotide ribosomal RNA is filed under the name uncultured bacterium. Its description in RNAcentral is "partial 16S ribosomal RNA". It matches the Rfam family "Bacterial small subunit ribosomal RNA", at positions 524 to 776 of the family's 1533-position model. The record is from RNAcentral.